Molecule: long non-coding RNA, 241 nt
Organism: Etheostoma cragini (Arkansas darter)
Lineage: Eukaryota; Metazoa; Chordata; Actinopteri; Perciformes; Percidae
Exons: 3
Source: RefSeq, a predicted model, not a curated record
CCAUCCCUCACACCUGCACAUAUUUCAUUCCCUUUAUCUUCAGACUGACGUCAUCUCAGGUACUUUGCCUAUAAAAGUGCAUCUGGAACCAUAAAACGUCACAUUUUCAUCGACAUCGGUGGAUGACAUUCAAGCCGAGAAUCCUAACCUAGAGCCGAGAAGAGAAACCACAUCAUCAUCACCAUGACUGCAAAGAUUUGUUUCAUCGUUCUUCUGUUUGUUGCUUCUGGCAAUUCACAGG